GACGAACGCUGGCGGCGUGCUUAACACAUGCAAGUCGAACGGUAAGGCCCUUUCGGGGGUCCACGAGUGGCGCACGGGUGCGUAACACGUGGGUGAUCUGCCCUGCACUUUGGGAUAAGCCUGGGAAACUGGGUCUAAUACCGGAUAGGUCUACGCGAUGCAUGUCGUGUGGUGGAAAGCUUUUGCGGUGUGGGAUGGGCCCGCGGCCUAUCAGCUUGUUGGUGGGGUGAUGGCCUACCAAGGCGACGACGGGUAGCCGGCCUGAGAGGGUGUCCGGCCACACUGGGACUGAGAUACGGCCCAGACUCCUACGGGAGGCAGCAGUGGGGAAUAUUGCACAAUGGGCGCAAGCCUGAUGCAGCGACGCCGCGUGGGGGAUGACGGCCUUCGGGUUGUAAACCCCUUUCAGCACAGACGAAGCGUAAGUGACGGUAUGUGCAGAAGAAGCACCGGCCAACUACGUG
Molecule: ribosomal RNA, 464 nt
Filed under: uncultured bacterium
Lineage: Bacteria
Description: partial 16S ribosomal RNA
Rfam family: Bacterial small subunit ribosomal RNA
Source: RNAcentral